GUUUCUGCUAUAAGGACAAACAGCUACAGUAAAACUAAGCGCUCUAACCUCGGCAUCAACUAACUUUGGGAAACUAAGGCUAAAAGCUGAGGAUGAGGCUUAGCACUAUCAGCUAGUAGGUAGUGUAAUGGACUACCUAGGCGGUGACGGUUAACGGGAUACGAGAGUGUGAUACCGGAGAGGGAGCCUGAGAAACAGCUCCUACAUCCAAGGAUGGCAGCAGGCGCGAAAAUUGUCCACUCUUUGCAGGAGACAGUUAUGAAAAGUAAAAAAGGUAGGUCUUGUAAAGAAAGAUUCUAAAAUUGGAGGGCAAGUUUGGUGCCAGCAUCCGCGG
RNAcentral lists this ribosomal RNA (334 nucleotides) under uncultured Microsporidia. RNAcentral's name for it is "partial small subunit ribosomal RNA". It matches the Rfam family "Microsporidia small subunit ribosomal RNA", at positions 56 to 405 of the family's 1311-position model. The record is from RNAcentral. Lineage: Eukaryota; Fungi; Microsporidia.